RNAcentral lists this ribosomal RNA (484 nucleotides) under uncultured bacterium. RNAcentral describes it as "partial 16S ribosomal RNA". It matches the Rfam family "Bacterial small subunit ribosomal RNA", at positions 29 to 507 of the family's 1533-position model. The record is from RNAcentral.
AUUGAACGCUGGCGGCAUGCUUUACACAUGCAAGUCGAACGGCAGCGCGGGCUUCGGCCUGGCGGCGAGUGGCGAACGGGUGAGUAAUGCAUCGGAACGUGCCCAGUAGUGGGGGAUAGCCCAGCGAAAGCCGGAUUAAUACCGCAUACGACCUGAGGGUGAAAGCGGGGGACCGAAAGGCCUCGCGCUAUUGGAGCGGCCGAUGUCGGAUUAGCUAGUUGGUGGGGUAAAGGCUUACCAAGGCGACGAUCCGUAGCUGGUCUGAGAGGACGACCAGCCACACUGGGACUGAGACACGGCCCAGACUCCUACGGGAGGUAGCAGUGGGGAAUUUUGGACAAUGGGGGCAACCCUGAUCCAGCCAUGCCGCGUGCGGGAAGAAGGCCUUCGGGUUGUAAACCGCUUUUGUUCGGGAAGAAAUCCUCUGGGCUAAUACCCCGGGGGGAUGACGGUACCGGAAAAAUAAGCACCGGCUAACUACGUG